This 1141-nucleotide long non-coding RNA is filed under the name Bos indicus x Bos taurus (hybrid cattle). RNAcentral describes it as "lncRNA (ENSBIXG00000014642.1)". Lineage: Eukaryota; Metazoa; Chordata; Mammalia; Artiodactyla; Bovidae. The record is from RNAcentral.
CUUCCCGCCUUACGUCCUGUCCUACACAUCCACCUUUGCCUGGAGUGUCUCCCUUCGAGGGUCAGCCCAACUCAUCACGGAGGCUCAAUCAAAACCUAGGAUGACCUUGAUGUCAGAGGCAGAGUUUCUCUGCUCCUGCUCUUUGCAGUUUCUCUUGCUGCUCACACUCACGUGACUUACAUGCAGCCUCUCUUAUUUCUGGAUACACCCUGCUCCUUCUUCACAGACGGCGGUCUUUCUUUUUCCCAGGGUACAUCACACGCAAGCUUGAAACUCGUAUAUUCAAAAGGUUUCCGAACACAGUUCUUAUUUCUUCCAUGUACCAGAUACGGUCUGCUUUGACCCACUGCUAGACCAAGUGCCCCCACUGUGCUGCAGCGUGUCUUCUCCAGGAUUCACUCCUGAUGUUGCCGAGGUGAGGUUCUCGUAAAUUCCCAGGGAAGCCUCAGUCAGACUACAACCUGCAGAUGCGUCUCUUUGCCGUCUCCUGGGAGCCUUCAUCUAACUCUGCCAAUAUACCAUGAUAGCUAGGUGAGUGCCUACAACUCAGGCUUUCCAAAGUAAGUAAUAACUGUUCAGGGACUUCCCUGGGGGUCCAGUGGCUAAGACAACAGACUCCCAGUACAGGGGGCCUCAGUUCGAUCCCUGGUCAGAGAACUAGAUCCCACAUGCUGCAACUAAGAGUUCAUAUGCCACAACUAAAGAUCCCAAAUGCUGCAGCAAAGAUCCAAUGUGCCACACCUAGGACCCAGCACAGCCAGAUAAAUAUAUAUUUUAAGUUGAAUUCUAUCAAACUUUCAAGCAGAGUGUAAGGGAACUUGUGCUUCCCAGCCAAGAUAGAGCCUGAGGAACCAGAUUUACACACCUGCCUGAAACAAACAGACAAAAGGCAAGAAAAAUGCAAGGGUACUUAAGACAUCAGGCAUCAGCUAACAAAGGACCAUGAUUCCUGAGUGCAGGAAACAAAUGUGAUAAGCACUGCUGUUACCCCCGCUUACUGCCUGGAUUGCAACCCUGUCUCCAAGCCUCGGUGCUGGGAGAGGAAACCCAGGCAGAACCCUGCCAUCUCCCUGAGCUGAGGAGACGGGCUGGCAGUCCAGGAAGCCCAGGGAGGGCACGGUGGCUGGAGUUACCAGGGCAG